UACGAAGGGGGCUAGCGUUGCUCGGAAUCACUGGGCGUAAAGGGCGCGUAGGCGGAUCUUUAAGUCGGGGGUGAAAGCCUGAGGCUCAACCUCAGAAUUGCCUUCGAUACUGGAGAUCUUGAGACCGGAAGAGGUAAGUGGAACUGCGAGUGUAGAGGUGAAAUUCGUAGAUAUUCGCAAGAACACCAGUGGCGAAGGCGGCUUACUGGUCCGGUUCUGACGCUGAGGCGCGAAAGCGUGGGGAGCGAACAGG
RNAcentral lists this ribosomal RNA (253 nucleotides) under uncultured bacterium. RNAcentral's name for it is "partial 16S ribosomal RNA". It matches the Rfam family "Bacterial small subunit ribosomal RNA", at positions 524 to 776 of the family's 1533-position model. The record is from RNAcentral.